This 1442-nucleotide ribosomal RNA is filed under the name uncultured organism. RNAcentral's name for it is "SSU rRNA". It matches the Rfam family "Bacterial small subunit ribosomal RNA". The record is from RNAcentral.
GAUGAACGCUAGCUACAGGCUUAACACAUGCAAGUCGAGGGGCAGCAUUUCGCUAGCAAUAGUGAAGAUGGCGACCGGCGCACGGGUGAGUAACACGUAUCCAACCUGCCGAUAACUCGGGGAUAGCCUUUCGAAAGAAAGAUUAAUAUCCGAUAGUAUAUUAAAACCGCAUGGUUUUACUAUUAAAGAAUUUCGGUUAUCGAUGGGGAUGCGUUCCAUUAGUUUGUUGGCGGGGUAACGGCCCACCAAGACUACGAUGGAUAGGGGUUCUGAGAGGAAGGUCCCCCACAUUGGAACUGAGACACGGUCCAAACUCCUACGGGAGGCAGCAGUGAGGAAUAUUGGUCAAUGGACGAGAGUCUGAACCAGCCAAGUAGCGUGAAGGAUGACUGCCCUAUGGGUUGUAAACUUCUUUUAUAUGGGAAUAAAGUAUUCCACGUGUGGGAUUUUGUAUGUACCAUAUGAAUAAGGAUCGGCUAACUCCGUGCCAGCAGCCGCGGUAAUACGGAGGAUCCGAGCGUUAUCCGGAUUUAUUGGGUUUAAAGGGAGCGUAGGUGGAUUGUUAAGUCAGUUGUGAAAGUUUGCGGCUCAACCGUAAAAUUGCAGUUGAAACUGGGAGUCUUGAGUACAGUAGAGGUGGGCGGAAUUCGUGGUGUAGCGGUGAAAUGCUUAGAUAUCACGAAGAACUCCGAUUGCGAAAGGCAGCUCACUAGACUGUCACUGACACUGAUGCUCGAAAGUGUGGGUAUCAAACAGGAUUAGAUACCCUGGUAGUCCACACAGUAAACGAUGAAUACUCGCUGUUUGCGAUAUACAGUAAGCGGCCAAGCGAAAGCAUUAAGUAUUCCACCUGGGGAGUACGCCGGCAACGGUGAAACUCAAAGGAAUUGACGGGGGCCCGCACAAGCGGAGGAACAUGUGGUUUAAUUCGAUGAUACGCGAGGAACCUUACCCGGGCUUAAAUUGCAAAUGAAUAAUCUGGAAACAGGUUAGCCGCAAGGCAUUUGUGAAGGUGCUGCAUGGUUGUCGUCAGCUCGUGCCGUGAGGUGUCGGCUUAAGUGCCAUAACGAGCGCAACCCUUAUCUUUAGUUACUAACAGGUUAUGCUGAGGACUCUAGAGAGACUGCCGUCGUAAGAUGUGAGGAAGGUGGGGAUGACGUCAAAUCAGCACGGCCCUUACGUCCGGGGCUACACACGUGUUACAAUGGGGGGUACAGAAGGCAGCUACCUGGUGACAGGAUGCUAAUCCCAAAAACCUCUCUCAGUUCGGAUCGAAGUCUGCAACCCGACUUCGUGAAGCUGGAUUCGCUAGUAAUCGCGCAUCAGCCAUGGCGCGGUGAAUACGUUCCCGGGCCUUGUACACACCGCCCGUCAAGCCAUGAAAGCCGGGGGUACCUGAAGUACGUAACCGCAAGGAGCGUCCUAGGGUAAAACUGGUAAAA